UUCAAACCCGCUGCCGGAGCCCCUGCUGGCCACGUCGGGCCACUGCUAGCCCCUGCGCUGGACACUGCUAGAGCAGCAGUGGUUGGGGCUGGAGGGGGAGAAACUGGGGAGGAAGGAGGGGGGAGGGGGCGGUCUGGUAGCUGCUUUCCCCCCUCUAUGAGGACAGAUUGGACCGGGGCUGGGGAAGACACGGGGAGAGACUUAAAGGUUUGGUUUUUUUUUUGUCUUUUUUUUUUCUUUGCAAUCCGGUGGAAGAAACUUCCGCCGCAGCCUGAGUGUUGGUCCUAGGAGGGGGACUCCCCUGGCGGGCGCCAGGGCCCUCCGCAUCUUGUGGCGGAAUGACAGUUGCCGAUGGUAAUUUUUUUGUAAUGUUACAACCCCACCGAGGCACCCUUCCCCUUCCUCUGUCUGUGCAGAGUUUGUUGAAUGUUCGUGUUAUUUAAAACAGAGCGAGAGAAAAAGCAGAGAAUGAUGCAACCCUUUAAACAUGGCUGGGAAUGCUGCGUACACAUGAUGCAAUCUCGUGUAACUGUCAGUCAUGGAUUGAGUAAUCUGUUAAAGAUGUUCCUGCGGUUUUUUUUAUUAUAAAGAAUAAUUCUAUUUCUAUACGAAAAUACAUAUGUAUAUUUUGGGAUCUAUAGACAUUCUUGCUACAUUUGAAGCAUUAAUGAACAAUUUUAAUAAACUUUAUGGCUAGGAAAAAAGAAAGAAAGGAAACUUGUUUUAUUUUAAAGGCACUUUAACGCCAGAAUGAAAUCAGUUCAAAUGCCAGCUAGAUCUGGCUGUGUCAGGAAUCAUUUUGUUGGCCUUUUGACUCUCUCUGUGACUCAGCAAAAAAGAAAAAAAAAAUGAGAGAACCAGAGAAGACCAGAUGUGGGAACCACAGCCAGUUCCCUCUUGCUGCCUCACUUAAUUUCCUCUAACCCCUUGAGUUAAAUUCUGCUUGGGUUUUUCUGAAAUACUAAUAACUCUCCCCAUUCAAACCAUGAAAAAUGUUUGACAAAGUCUCUCCAAGCAAAGGACAAGAUUAAAGCAGGGGAGAGGUUGGAGGAAAGAAAAAGAGAAGGAGAAAGCUUGAAAUAAGCUUCUGUGGGUUGAGGAUGCGCAUGGAGUAACUAAAUACAUCUUGGGGUGUGAUCCUGGAGUCCAUAUACAAGCAAAACUCCCAUUGAAGUAAAGAACACAAUCAGACCCAUGAGCACAAUCUCAUCUCCUUUGAAAAAUGCAUGGACCAGUCACUCAUUUUUUCCAAGUUAUUGUUAAAAUGGAUUAUUGAUUUCUAAUAGGUUGCCCUUGCUGUCCCAAUGGGGUUGGCCUGGGGAAGGAGACAACAGAAUUUCCCCAUCUUUAGAAAAAAAAUAUUCCUAAUGAGAAUAUCAAAUCCUUGCCAUAGACAUUCUGUUCCUAAAGGGCUCUAAAUUCCACUUCUGAACCUGCUAUGCCAUGUGGAUUCCACAGUAUUUAGUUCCACAGCAGAAAAUCCAUUCCUCAAAAUGCAUUGUUUAAAUGAAUAUAAUUUAAAAUACCAACAAGUUUUAACUUUUAAAUACGUUAUCUGUCAAUCUGUAUUCCUUGUAGCACAUUUGUCACUGCAGCAUCUGUGUGUUACAGAUACUUUAGCAAUAGUUUUCUGCAUUGCUUUGCUGAUGUUAUGUGCUGUUGCUUCAUGUUCUAAAUAUGCUUAAUUUGCAUUGCCCUCCAUUUGCAGCAGUAGGAGUUAUUGUUAAAAAGUACCCUUGUUUGUGUCUGCCUUCAUUUUUUCCUGUGUCACACUAAUAAACACAAUCUUACAAAUUACAAACAUGCACAAAA
Molecule: non-coding RNA, 1812 nt
Organism: Pelodiscus sinensis (Chinese soft-shelled turtle)
Lineage: Eukaryota; Metazoa; Chordata; Testudines; Trionychidae
Source: RefSeq, a predicted model, not a curated record